CCUACGGGGUGCUGCAGUGGGGAAUAUUGGACAAUGGGCGAAAGCCUGAUCCAGCCAUGCCGCGUGUGUGAAGAAGGCCUUCGGGUUGUAAAGCACUUUCAGUGGGGAAGAAAGCCUUGGGGCUAAUACCCUCGAGGAAGGACAUCACCCACAGAAGAAGCACCGGCUAACUCCGUGCCAGCAGCCGCGGUAAUACGGAGGGUGCGAGCGUUAAUCGGAAUUACUGGGCGUAAAGCGCGCGUAGGCGGUCUGAUAAGCCGGUUGUGAAAGCCCCGGGCUCAACCUGGGAACGGCAUCCGGAACUGUCAGGCUAGAGUGCAGGAGAGGAAGGUAGAAUUCCCGGUGUAGCGGUGAAAUGCGUAGAGAUCGGGAGGAAUACCAGUGGCGAAGGCGGCCUUCUGGACUGACACUGACGCUGAGGUGCGAAAGCGUGGGUAGCAAACAGGAGUAGAUACCCUGGUAGUC
Molecule: ribosomal RNA, 465 nt
Filed under: Vreelandella stevensii
Lineage: Bacteria; Pseudomonadati; Pseudomonadota; Gammaproteobacteria; Oceanospirillales; Halomonadaceae
Description: partial 16S ribosomal RNA
Rfam family: Bacterial small subunit ribosomal RNA
Source: RNAcentral